Molecule: long non-coding RNA, 2142 nt
Filed under: Mus caroli (Ryukyu mouse)
Lineage: Eukaryota; Metazoa; Chordata; Mammalia; Rodentia; Muridae
Description: lncRNA (MGP_CAROLIEiJ_G0003369.1)
Source: RNAcentral
AGUCUUGUUGAAGUAGUAGAAGAUGAGGGCUGGUAGGGUGAGCACGUAUAAAAAGUCAGCCAGAGCCAAAUUGAACAUGUACACGGAGAUGCCGCUCCAAGGCUUCAUGUGGAAAACGAACAUCCAGAUAGCCACGCUGUUGCCUAGGAAGCCUAUGAUGAACACUAAAAUGUAGACGGCCGGCAGGUAGUAGAACUGGAAACCGGUCUUGGUCAGGGCACAUUGGAAUGAAGAGGAAACUGCUGCAGUUGAGGCGACAGUACUGUUUCCCCAAAGCGAGCCCAGGCCAGCCAGAAAGGCAGCAUCCGUCCCGUUGGGGACAGCCGACCAAGGCACCUCGGUCAUCCUCUUCUUUCCAACUCAGACAGCUACUAGAAAGGGCAGACCGCGGCGAGCGGGCAGCAGCGGCGAGAGACUCAGCGCGCAUCGGAGGCGCGGGUCAGGGACCGCGCGCGGGAGUUCCCCACGGGUCGGAGCGCGCAGGGGCUCGCCCACGCCGGCUCUGGCCGCGCGUUUGUCGCGGGCCAUGAAAUUCGCCCGGGGCUGCGACCGAUCUAAGCUGAAGGACGGGCGGGCAACUUCCCGGUCCAGCUGGCGGCGCGGAGGUUACACAACAGGACGCGCAGGGCACCUCCACCAAGUUUGCAAGUGCGCUCCCGCGCAGGGCGACUGAUAGGCGCUGCUUAGAGCGCCUGGGGCGCGGCGGGUCAAGUCCAAGUAGUUUGGCGGUUCCCAGCGGCCCGAAGGCGCAGGCCAACCACCUCCUUCCUCUCUGUGAUCAACUUUGCCUGGCCAUCUGCCUGCUCCCUACCUUGCAACCCCGGACCUUCACCGGGGACGCCGCGACUCUUCUUCCGGCCACAUUCUGAGCCCGCGCUCAACCUUGGAGAUCUUUUGGAGAGCGCGUGGCCUCGGACCCUGGCGUACUACCAACCCUGUACCCCGCUCACAGUCCAUGAAGGCUGCAGUCUCCGUGCUCGGCUGGGUCUCGAGUGCAGGGGGCAGGAGAGAAAGCCAGGCUCCCAGAGGGGUGGGCGGAGCCUGGGAGCCCGGGCGAGUCUGUGCACCGCGGGGAGGCAAGGGGCGUGUCUCCGCCUUGCAAGCUCCGGGCCGCGGGCUCAGGGCUGGGCGCCCAGGGCGGGAGGUGGCCUCUGGAAGCAGAGAUCGCAGUGCCCCUGCACGCCUGGCACGGCCGCCACCACUCGAAUCAGUGGUCAGAACAAAAGGUGCUCUAGGGCAGCGGUGGCUUCUGGCCAGCGUAUGGCUGGAGGGGUUUCCUCGGUCCUCCACCAGCUAGCUCUGUAAAGUGAAGUUGCUGACACACUGAAAACCUUCUGGAAGCUGGCAGCGUUGUGUCUAAAGCUUGGAGGGGAGCAGUCUGAGACAGACAUCUCCAGAGCCUCCCCGGAACUCGCAAGGUGUUUGCAGGCUCCAGACAACCAGCGGUUUGCAGGUGGGCACGCCCUAGCCCUGCACAGCGCCUUGCUUUGCCCAACGCGUGUAGGAACCUGCUGAUCCCAGAGGGUGCCAGCUCUGAAUGAGUGAGGGUGGUAAGCGGCAUGGGCAAGUCGCUUUCUGCCCUUCAUGUCUGUUUGUUUUUAUUGUUGUUUGCUUUAUUAUUAAUCCAAAUACUAUUUUUUUUGCACUACUUAGAAAAAUGCUAAUACAGCAGCAUCACUGGUAACAUUAUUGUGAGAAUGUACAUAAGAACCUGGUCUAACUGCUUAGUUAACGCACCACACAUCAUCAGUCCAACUUGACUGCUAACACUUGCUGGAAAGAACAAGCGCCCUCCCUCCAACCUCCAGUUACCAUUUACAUACAUUUAAAUAAUAGAGACUACAGUGAAAGUGAUUCUGAAUCAAGCUGAAUAUUAAACACAGCUUUAUAAAGAAAGAGGGUUCAUUUGUUGAGGGAUAACUUUACAGUCUGGCUUUAUUGUGAAUCUUAUUUCUUAAAAUGUCUGAAUGUAGACAGAGACCAAUGUAGUUACUUUAUUUAUUGUAAAUCUUAGUCUAGGGUUCCAAAUGCAUAAAAAAAUGUGGGCAAUAUAUUCAAAAUGUGUUUAUAUUUAAUUGUAAACUAAAUGGAUUGUUUCCUACCUCAAGACAUAAUUAAACAGACCCACCCAAGAAUGGAACC